GCUGCGGGCCGGACUCAGGUCUGCGGGCUGACCCGGCCGCUCCCGCGCCCUGGGCGUGCCGGGGGCCGGAAGCAGAGGGCGCAGGGCUCCAGGCGCCUGGGUUUCGGGCCUAACGGGCGGUGGAGAUCAGCUGGGCCCGAAAGAGGCGGGGCCAGAAAACCUGAGUCUGCAGAAACGGGGUGUGCGCGCCAACGCGCUGGGCGCGGGGACUGGGCCGCACCCGGCGCUCCCUGCCCUGCGGACUCCGGCUGGAGCUUGAUUUGCAGUUUGCUAGACGCCACCAUUAAGAGAUUGCCAGACAGCAAAGAAUAG
This 312-nucleotide long non-coding RNA is filed under the name Homo sapiens (human). RNAcentral's name for it is "LHRI_LNC1082.1". The record is from RNAcentral. Lineage: Eukaryota; Metazoa; Chordata; Mammalia; Primates; Hominidae.